GGAAUUGUUCGCAAUGGGCGCAAGCCUGACGGAGUGACGCCGCGUGUGGGACGAAGGCCUUCGGGUCGUAAACCACUGUCAGUGGGAAAGAUGGGUGUCGGCGCGAUAACCGCCGGCAUCGGACGGUACCUGCAGAGGAAACCCCGGCUAACCCUGUGCCAGCAGCCGCGGUAAGACAGAGGGGGCAAGCGUUGCUCGGAAUUACUGGGCGUAAAGGGCGCGUAGGCGGGAUGGCAAGUCGGUCGUGAAAUCCCUCGGCCCAACUGAGGAACGUCGAUCGAUACUGCCGUUCUUGAGGGUUGCAGAGGAGACUGGAAUUCCCGGUGUAGCGGUGAAAUGUGUAGAGAUCGGGAGGAACACCGGUGGCGAAGGCGGGUCUCUGGGCAAUUCCUGACGCUGAGGCGCGAAAGCGUGGGGAGC
RNAcentral lists this ribosomal RNA (420 nucleotides) under uncultured bacterium. Its description in RNAcentral is "bacterial SSU rRNA". It matches the Rfam family "Bacterial small subunit ribosomal RNA", at positions 358 to 769 of the family's 1533-position model. The record is from RNAcentral.